Molecule: non-coding RNA, 539 nt
Organism: Xyrichtys novacula (pearly razorfish)
Lineage: Eukaryota; Metazoa; Chordata; Actinopteri; Labriformes; Labridae
Source: the annotation of a GenBank genome assembly
AGCCGAGAACAGCACCCCCUGUUUACAGGCUGCAGUACAGGUCAUAAAUCCCGCCUCUGCCAGCAAACCUUAUGGGGCUGUGGACAAACUUUAGAAAUUUAUUACACAGAACAUAAAUUUUUCUCCCCCCUGCUUGUGAUGUUGACAUGUAGGUAUUGUAAGACUGGUUUGUGCUCAAGUCCUCUUUUUUCUGUACAGCUCUGUUUUUAAAAGUUAUUAGGGGGUUCAUGUUUUCUAUGAUUGACACCUGCCAUAGACUGUAUAUAGAAUGGACAGAGUCUGCCUCCUCGCUGGGUGAAGCCACUCCGAGAACAGCACCCUCUGUUGAUGGGCUGCAGUAUAGGUCAUAAAUCCCGCCUCCGCCAGCAAAGAUUAUGGAGCCGUGGACAAACUUAAAAAAUGUAUUACACAGAACAUAAAUUUUUAUCCCUCCUGAUUGUGAUGUUGACAUGUAGUUACAGUAAGACUGGUUUGUGCUCAAGUCCUCUUUUUUCUGUGAAGCUCCAUUUUUAAAAGUUAUUAGGGCUUCAUGUUUGCUA